RNAcentral lists this ribosomal RNA (920 nucleotides) under Hydnum sphaericum. RNAcentral describes it as "partial large subunit ribosomal RNA". It matches the Rfam family "Eukaryotic large subunit ribosomal RNA", at positions 34 to 964 of the family's 3401-position model. Lineage: Eukaryota; Fungi; Basidiomycota; Agaricomycetes; Cantharellales; Hydnaceae. The record is from RNAcentral.
CUAGCAUAUCAAUAAGCGGAGGAAAAGAAACUAACAAGGAUUCCCUUAGUAACUGCGAGUGAAGUGGGAUGAGCUCAAAUUUAAAAUCUGGUAGUCUUUGGCUGCCCGAGUUGUAAUCUAGAGAAGUGUUUUCUGUGCUGGACUGUGUUUAAGUUUCCUGGAUAUGGAACAUCAUAGAGGGUGAGAAUCCCGUCUUUGACACAGACUACCAGUACUCUGUGAUGCACUCUCAACGAGUCGAGUUGUUUGGGAUUGCAGCUCAAAAUGGGAGGUAAAUUCCUUCUAAAGCUAAAUAUUGGCGAGAGACCGAUAGCGAACAAGUACCGUGAGGGAAAGAUGAAAAGCACUUUGGAAAGAGAGUUAAACAGUACGUGAAAUUGUUAAAAGGGAAACAAUUGAAGUCAGUUGCAUCUACUUGGACUCAGCCUUACUUUGGUUUGGUGCAUUUCCUUGUGGAUGGGCCAGUGUUCAUGUUGAUGACUGGAAAAGGGGCUAGGGAAUGUGGCUCUUUUGGGAGUGUUAUAGCCUUGGCUCAUAUACAGUGAUUAAUAUGGAGUGGUACAGCAUGCUUCGGUGGUGCUUGUGCUGGCAUAAUGGCUUUAAAUGACCCGUCUUGAAACACGGACCAAGGAGUCUAACAUGUCUGCAAGUAUUUGGGUGAUAAACUCAAGUGCAUAAUGAAAGUGAUAGCUGGGAACCCUGCAAAGGGGGCACCAGUGCCCCGAGCGGAUCUUCUGUGAUGCAUCGGAGGUAGAGCAUAUAUGUUGGGACCCGAAAGAUGGUGAACUAUGCCUGAAUAGGGUGAAGCCAGAGGAAACUCUGGUGGAGGCUCGUAGCGAUUCUGACGUGCAAAUCGAUCGUCAAAUUUGGGUAUAGGGGCGAAAGACUAAUCGAACCAUCUAGUAGCUGGUUCCUGCCGA